UACGAAGGGGGCGAGCGUUGUUCGGAAUUACUGGGCGUAAAGGGUGUGUAGGCGGUUUAGUAAGAUAGUGGUGAAAUGCCGGAGCUCAACUUCGGAAUUGCCAUUAUGACUAUUAAGCUAGAAUGAUGUAGAGGAUAGCGGAAUACCCAGUGUAGAGGUGAAAUUCGUAGAUAUUGGGUAGAACACCAGAGGCGAAGGCGGCUAUCUGGGCAUUUAUUGACGCUGAGGCACGAAAGCAUGGGGAUCAAACAGG
RNAcentral lists this ribosomal RNA (253 nucleotides) under uncultured bacterium. Its description in RNAcentral is "partial 16S ribosomal RNA". It matches the Rfam family "Bacterial small subunit ribosomal RNA", at positions 524 to 776 of the family's 1533-position model. The record is from RNAcentral.